GGAUGUGAGGGCAAUCUGGCUGUGACAUCUGUCACCUCAUUGAUCGUCAGGGUUGAUUCGGCUGAUCUGGCUGGCUAGGCGUGCGUCCCCUUCCUCCCUCACCACUCCAUGUGUGUCCCUCCCAAAGCUCCACGCUUGGUCAAAGAGGACUACCUUCCCUGAUAGAGAAGAACCAUUCUUUGGUCAAAGGUCAAAACAAGCUCUCAAGAAUGAGGAGACCAACAAGGAGGAAGGGAAAGGUUU
This 243-nucleotide small nuclear RNA is filed under the name Propithecus coquereli (Coquerel's sifaka). RNAcentral's name for it is "7SK RNA (ENSPCOG00000008582.1)". The stretch from base 1 to 197 matches the Rfam family "7SK RNA". From Rfam's summary of the family: 7SK was discovered as an abundant small nuclear RNA in the mid-70s but a possible function has only recently been suggested. Two independent studies have found that 7SK RNA binds the CDK9/cyclin T complex (known as elongation factor P-TEFb). P-TEFb activates transcription by phosphorylating the C-terminal domain of RNA polymerase II. Lineage: Eukaryota; Metazoa; Chordata; Mammalia; Primates; Indriidae. The record is from RNAcentral.